This 411-nucleotide ribosomal RNA is filed under the name uncultured delta proteobacterium. Its description in RNAcentral is "bacterial SSU rRNA". It matches the Rfam family "Bacterial small subunit ribosomal RNA", at positions 137 to 523 of the family's 1533-position model. Lineage: Bacteria; Deltaproteobacteria. The record is from RNAcentral.
GGGGGGAUAACCGUCCGAAAGGAUGGCUAAUACCGCGUACGUCGGCCGGGUCCUCGGACCUGGUCGGGAAAGAUGGCCUCUCCAUGGAAGCUAUCACUGAAGGAGCAGCCCGCGUCCCAUCAGCUUGUUGGCGGGGUAACGGCCCACCAAGGCAAAGACGGGUAGCUGGUCUGAGAGGAUGAUCAGCCACACUGGAACUGAGACACGGUCCAGACUCCUACGGGAGGCAGCAGUGGGGGAAUAUUGGGCAAUGGGCGCAAGCCUGACCCAGCCAUGCCGCGUGAGUGAUGAAGGCCUUCGGGUCGUAAAGCUCUGUGGGGAGGGACGAAACCGGACGUGGCUAACAUCCACGGACCUUGACGGUACCUCCUUAGCAAGCACCGGCUAACUCCGUGCCAGCAGCCGCGGUAA